UUAGUUUAUUUCAACACGCAGUUAGAGAGCACAAGAAUCUGUCCAAAGGAGGAUUUCAAAGGCAAAUAAGACACACUUCCUGACCUUACAAAAUGCAGAUUAUGAUAACUCAAGGAAAGAAAUAAAUUAUAGAAGAUGCUAAAAUACAGUUGAGACUGUUGGAAAGGCAGGAAUGAGAAGCGUUCCACUCGGACCCUGAAGAGCUUGAGAGUGAGUAAUCUGUGAGCCUGGGCAUGAGAGGGGGUGAGGUUUCAACAGAUGAAGUGAACGGAGCAGCGUGGAGAGACUGGAGGGCCUGCACCUUUCCUUCCCUUUGGAACCUUCAUUUAUUAUUUCAAGAACAAGGAUCUCUAUAAAAACAUUACCUUAAUCCAGAGUAAAUUGUUCCCAAAAUGGGCAGAGCAGCUCCCUAAGAAGCUAAGAGGUGCAGGUCGCCACUUUAAGGGACAAUUUCUAUACAACUUACAGAAGACUAUAACUUCAUAAGCUGGCCCUAGAUCUGAAGAGUAAUGUGAUUCCUAAAGUUUGGAAGAAACAGAGGACGAAUGUUCCUAAAACGAGAUUGUUACCCACUUGAUCUUAAGGCCUCUCCAACUUGAGAUCUCAGCAUCUCCACUGCCACCUUGAGAGUCAGAGUAGUGGUAGAGAGUGCUGACCCUGACGGUGUGAAUCCAUGGCAACCUAAAAUUUCAC
RNAcentral lists this long non-coding RNA (693 nucleotides) under Chinchilla lanigera (long-tailed chinchilla). RNAcentral's name for it is "lncRNA (ENSCLAG00000029281.1)". Lineage: Eukaryota; Metazoa; Chordata; Mammalia; Rodentia; Chinchillidae. The record is from RNAcentral.